This 254-nucleotide ribosomal RNA is filed under the name uncultured bacterium. RNAcentral's name for it is "partial 16S ribosomal RNA". It matches the Rfam family "Bacterial small subunit ribosomal RNA", at positions 100 to 353 of the family's 1533-position model. The record is from RNAcentral.
CACGGGUGAGUAACACGUAUCCAACCUGCCGUCUACUCUUGGACAGCCUUCUGAAAGGAAGAUUAAUACAAGAUGGCAUCAUGAGUCCGCAUGUUCACAUGAUUAAAGGUAUUCCGGUAGACGAUGGGGAUGCGUUCCAUUAGAUAGCAGGCGGGGUAACGGCCCACCUAGUCUUCGAUGGAUAGGGGUUCUGAGAGGAAGGUCCCCCACAUUGGAACUGAGACACGGUCCAAACUCCUACGGGAGGCAGCAUG